GGAGGCGACUGGUGCCUGGUGGUGCCCCCGGUCUUCAAAGCCGGUGUGGGGCAUGUAAAUGUCUCGGGUAGGUUCGAUUCCUAUUCGCUUCCGCCA
Molecule: transfer RNA, 96 nt
Filed under: Phycisphaerae bacterium
Lineage: Bacteria; Pseudomonadati; Planctomycetota; Phycisphaerae
Description: tRNA-Sec
Rfam family: Selenocysteine transfer RNA
Source: RNAcentral